RNAcentral lists this long non-coding RNA (253 nucleotides) under Ananas comosus (pineapple). RNAcentral describes it as "long non-coding RNA (ACOM_LNC042864)". Lineage: Eukaryota; Viridiplantae; Streptophyta; Magnoliopsida; Poales; Bromeliaceae. The record is from RNAcentral.
AGAGUGGCUUGUUGUCCUCUUGUUUAUUUGUUAUUCAGUUGUGUUGUAUUCAGUUAAAUAAAAUUUGCCUAUAUAUUAUGGGUAUUUUUUUGUAAAAAUACAUGAUCUAAAAGUUAGAGAAGUGGAAGACUCGUUCCGCUAGUAAAAAUCCAUUCAACCCAAAAGCUUAAGCCUGUUGGGCCGGAUCCAUUAAUAAACAUCGAAUUUAUUAGUUUCUUGUUAAUUAUUCGAUAUGAAACUAUUAACAAACGAA